Molecule: long non-coding RNA, 286 nt
Filed under: Vigna radiata
Lineage: Eukaryota; Viridiplantae; Streptophyta; Magnoliopsida; Fabales; Fabaceae
Description: long non-coding RNA (VRAD_LNC016711)
Source: RNAcentral
AUCAAAAUCACUACAAAAAAUGCAAAACAAGCAUAAUAUCGCUAAAAACAACUUUUGACUCUCGACUGACUCAUUUAUUGAGUUUUACUUGAUUCUAAGCUCGUUCUAAGUCUUCAAGGGUGUAAUUUGGUCUAAAUUGACAUAUGAAAAUAAUUGAUUUUCAACCGUUAUCAAGUCACAUGUCUAAAUAUUUCUCUCAUCUGCCCAUUGUGACUAUCUCUUCUUUUCUCAACUUCUUCCAAUCCCUCUUCUUCUUUCUCUUCUUCACCAAGCUCAUCAUUCUCAC